This 73-nucleotide transfer RNA is filed under the name Camelus bactrianus (Bactrian camel). It matches the Rfam family "tRNA". Rfam says of the family: Transfer RNA (tRNA) molecules are approximately 80 nucleotides in length. Their secondary structure includes four short double-helical elements and three loops (D, anti-codon, and T loops). Further hydrogen bonds mediate the characteristic L-shaped molecular structure. tRNAs have two regions of fundamental functional importance: the anti-codon, which is responsible for specific mRNA codon recognition, and the 3' end, to which the tRNAs corresponding amino acid is attached (by aminoacyl-tRNA synthetases). tRNAs cope with the degeneracy of the genetic code in two manners: having more than one tRNA (with a specific anti-codon) for a particular amino acid; and 'wobble' base-pairing, i.e. permitting non-standard base-pairing at the 3rd anti-codon position. Lineage: Eukaryota; Metazoa; Chordata; Mammalia; Artiodactyla; Camelidae. The record is from Rfam by way of RNAcentral. RNAcentral also lists the same sequence under 1 other name.
GAGGGUAUAGCUCAGUGGUAGAGCACAUGCUUAGCAUGCACGAGGUCCUGGGUUCAAAAUCCCAGUGCAUUCA